CUGAAGCAAGCACGAGCCCUUCCUUCCGAGAUCCAGUGUCAAGAGUGAGCGGGAUGAGGAUGGGACUCCAAGCACAGCUAGCCAAGAAUCUACUCUUGAUUCCUGGUACCAGAAUCAGGAAAGCAUCCAGCUCUUCCUUCCCAAGUGGGUGAUUAACAGUCUGUGUAAAGUUUGCUCUCCCCACUGGAAUGCUGCAGCAACACAUCCCUUCAGCCACAGAUGCCUUCUCCAACAACAUGAAUGUGAAUAACAAUGAA
Molecule: long non-coding RNA, 257 nt
Organism: Vidua macroura (Pin-tailed whydah)
Lineage: Eukaryota; Metazoa; Chordata; Aves; Passeriformes; Viduidae
Exons: 2
Source: RefSeq, a predicted model, not a curated record